RNAcentral lists this long non-coding RNA (1015 nucleotides) under Felis catus (domestic cat). Its description in RNAcentral is "lncRNA (ENSFCAG00000043740.2)". The record is from RNAcentral. Lineage: Eukaryota; Metazoa; Chordata; Mammalia; Carnivora; Felidae.
GUAUUUCAGCCUUCUAUGAGUUUGAUUAGUAUAAAUAAAUUCCCGAGACAGAACAUGUAACCCUGAUACUUGGCAGCCAGACAGCCAGGGUCUUCUGGUGUCAAAAAUUGGAAAUGAUAAACCCCAGAGGAGGGGGGCAGGCUCCCAUCAAGAUGAACAUUCCAGUGGAGAAGCCAGUGGCAGGCCCACCCAUCACCUGACAUCAUCCCUGUGAAUCAGGCACCAUCCUGUUGCCUGAGAAGCCACAAGUCUCAUUUGGCAAGAGUAUGGAUCCACAGCCGCAUUCAACUUUUCUAUAGUGUCUCUUGUGCCAAAGAUCCAAAGCUUCCUUGACGAAUUGUUUGAAGUGUGGCAUCCUCUCAGCCCCAAUCUUGCUCUGAAGCUCUGGGUACUGGAUAAUUAGAGACAAACCAAGAAUUUCUUAAAGAAGGAAUGAGACAAGCCAGCCAACGAGCCAAGAGAAAUUUCUGUUGUCACUUUCUUUCAGUGUGAUUUCCCCAGCAGCUGCUCUUUCCACAGCCUCAGCAGGAAGGUUGUGGCUGAGCAGAGAGCACAGCGGCCUCUGGGCCUGGGGCAGCAGCCAUGGUGUCCAGCUCUGAGUCUGCGGAGGCUUUUGUUCAAUUAUUGAUGUCUGGGGAAGGAAGCCUGGGCUGACUAUGCUGAGAUGGCUGCCGAGACCCAAAUGAAGCGGGGAAAGCUCCAGGAAGGGAGAAGAGGGGGCCUAGUGAGGUCAGUCCAUGUUUAUUGACGUGAAAACAUGUCCAGGAGAGAUUGAACUUUUAACUCUUGGAUCAGAAAGGCAUGCCCAGGACUGGUGUUCAUGUGAGCAGAGGAGGACAGUAUGAACUGAAAGACACCAAGUAAGUACGUUCCCUUCUUAUUCCCUCCCAUCAGCCAGCACUUUGGCAAAUGAGCUUUCCUACUGCCAAUAUAACUGCCUAAAAUCCUAUACUUAAAAAUUAAUUCCUUUGAGUCACUCCCUAAUCAUUUCAUUCAUUCUACAUGGUAACUGAGC